CCUACGGGUGGCAGCAGUGGGGAAUAUUGGACAAUGGGGGGAACCCUGAUCCAGCCAUGCCGCGUGUGUGAAGAAGGCCCUCGGGUUGUAAAGCACUUUCAGUGAGGAAGAACGCCUGGUGGUUAAUACCCAUCAGGAAAGACAUCACUCACAGAAGAAGCACCGGCUAACUCCGUGCCAGCAGCCGCGGUAAUACGGAGGGUGCGAGCGUUAAUCGGAAUUACUGGGCGUAAAGCGCGCGUAGGUGGCUCGAUAAGCCGGUUGUGAAAGCCCCGGGCUCAACCUGGGAACGGCAUCCGGAACUGUCAAGCUAGAGUGCAGGAGAGGAAGGUAGAAUUCCCGGUGUAGCGGUGAAAUGCGUAGAGAUCGGGAGGAAUACCAGUGGCGAAGGCGGCCUUCUGGACUGACACUGACACUGAGGUGCGAAAGCGUGGGUAGCAAACAGGAUUAGAUACCCCAGUAGUC
This 465-nucleotide ribosomal RNA is filed under the name Vreelandella stevensii. RNAcentral's name for it is "partial 16S ribosomal RNA". It matches the Rfam family "Bacterial small subunit ribosomal RNA", at positions 338 to 795 of the family's 1533-position model. The record is from RNAcentral. Lineage: Bacteria; Pseudomonadati; Pseudomonadota; Gammaproteobacteria; Oceanospirillales; Halomonadaceae.